UGUCUCAAAGAUUAAGCCAUGCAUGUCUCAGUACAAGCCAAAUUAAGGUGAAACCGCGAAAGGCUCAUUAAAUCAGUUAUGGUUCCUUAGAUCGUACCCACAUUUACUUGGAUAACUGUGGUAAUUCUAGAGCUAAUACAUGCAAACAGAGCUCCGACCGGAGACGGAAGGAGCGCUUUUAUUAGAUCAAAACCAAUCGGUGUCGGGUCCGUCCCGUCACCGUACACCUUGGUGACUCUGAAUAACUUUUUGCUGAUCGCACGGUCUCGCACCGGCGACGCAUCUUUCAAAUGUCUGCCUUAUCAACUGUCGAUGGUAGGUUCUGCGCCUACCAUGGUUGUAACGGGUAACGGGGAAUCAGGGUUCGAUUCCGGAGAGGGAGCCUGAGAAACGGCUACCACAUCCAAGGAAGGCAGCAGGCGCGCAAAUUACCCACUCCCGGCACGGGGAGGUAGUGACGAAAAAUAACGAUACGGGACUCAUCCGAGGCCCCGUAAUCGGAAUGAGUACACUCUAAACCCUUUAACGAGGAUCAAUUGGAGGGCAAGUCUGGUGCCAGCAGCCGCGGUAAUUCCAGCUCCAAUAGCGUAUAUUAAAGUUGUUGCGGUUAAAAAGCUCGUAGUCGAAUUUGUGUCCCGCGCCGCCGGUUCAUCGCUCGCGGUGUCAACUGGCGUGUCCGCGGGACGUCCUGCCGGUGGGCUUAGCCCUCAGUGGGCGGCCCAAUCUCAAUCCCACCGCGGUGCUCUUCACUGAGUGUCGAGGUGGGCCGGCACGUUUACUUUGAACAAAUUAGAGUGCUUAAAGCAGGCUAAAACUUCGCCUGAAUACUGUGUGCAUGGAAUAAUGGAAUAGGACCUCGGUUCUAUUUUGUUGGUUUUCGGAACCCCGAGGUAAUGAUUAAUAGGAACGGAUGGGGGCAUUCGUAUUGCGACGUUAGAG
RNAcentral lists this ribosomal RNA (939 nucleotides) under Matthewsius penelopae. RNAcentral's name for it is "SSU rRNA". It matches the Rfam family "Eukaryotic small subunit ribosomal RNA", at positions 33 to 910 of the family's 1831-position model. Lineage: Eukaryota; Metazoa; Arthropoda; Insecta; Coleoptera; Scarabaeidae. The record is from RNAcentral.